This 233-nucleotide ribosomal RNA is filed under the name uncultured bacterium. RNAcentral describes it as "partial 16S ribosomal RNA". It matches the Rfam family "Bacterial small subunit ribosomal RNA", at positions 524 to 763 of the family's 1533-position model. The record is from RNAcentral.
UACGAAGGGGCGAGCGUUGUUCGGAUUUACUGGGCGUAAAGGCGCGCAGGCGGCUCAUUUUGUCAGGCGUGAAAUCCCUCGGCUUAACCGGGAACUGCGUCUGAUACUGGAUGGCUUGAGUUCGGGAGAGGGAUGCGGAAUUCCAGGUGUAGCGGUGAAAUGCGUAGAUAUCUGGAGGAACACCGGUGCGAAGGCAAUCCCUGGCCUGCACUGACGCUCAUGCACGAAGCGUG